ACGGGUGAGUAAUGUCUGGGAAACUGCCUGAUGGAGGGGGAUAACUACUGGAAACGGUAGCUAAUACCGCAUAACGUCUUCGGACCAAAGUGGGGGACCUUCGGGCCUCACGCCAUCGGAUGUGCCCAGAUGGGAUUAGCUAGUAGGUGGGGUAAUGGCUCACCUAGGCGACGAUCCCUAGCUGGUCUGAGAGGAUGACCAGCCACACUGGAACUGAGACACGGUCCAGACUCCUACGGGAGGCAGCAGUGGGGAAUAUUGCACAAUGGGCGCAAGCCUGAUGCGGCCAUGCCGCGUGUGUGAAGAAGGCCUUCGGGUUGUAAAGCACUUUCAGCGAGGAGGAAGGCAUAAAGGUUAAUAACCUUUGUGAUUGACGUUACUCGCAGAAGAAGCACCGGCUAACUCCGUGCCAGCAGCCGCGGUAAUACGGAGGGUGCAAGCGUUAAUCGGAAUUACUGGGCGUAAAGCGCACGCAGGCGGUUUGUUAAGUCAGAUGUGAAAUCCCCGCGCUUAACGUGGGAACUGCAUUUGAAACUGGCAAGCUAGAGUCUUGUAGAGGGGGGUAGAAUUCCAGGU
Molecule: ribosomal RNA, 576 nt
Filed under: uncultured bacterium
Lineage: Bacteria
Description: bacterial SSU rRNA
Rfam family: Bacterial small subunit ribosomal RNA
Source: RNAcentral